GGCCCGGUUGGACGGUCAGCUCUAUGGGUUUGUACUGUCCUGACUGGGUCUUACCUUCUGGUGAGCUGUCGUUCUGUUUAUUCAGUGCGGCAGGGAACCAGGACUUUUACUUUGAAAAAAUUAGAGUGUUUAAAGCAGGCAUCCGCUUGAAUACAUUAGCAUGGAAUAAUAGAAUAGGACUUUGGUUCUAUUUUGUUGGUUUCUAGGACCGAAGUA
This 216-nucleotide ribosomal RNA is filed under the name uncultured fungus. RNAcentral describes it as "partial small subunit ribosomal RNA". The stretch from base 49 to 216 matches the Rfam family "Eukaryotic small subunit ribosomal RNA", at positions 694 to 864 of the family's 1831-position model. The record is from RNAcentral. Lineage: Eukaryota; Fungi.